This 895-nucleotide ribosomal RNA is filed under the name uncultured bacterium. RNAcentral describes it as "bacterial SSU rRNA". It matches the Rfam family "Bacterial small subunit ribosomal RNA", at positions 88 to 966 of the family's 1533-position model. The record is from RNAcentral.
AUAUAAAGCGGCGAACGGGUGAGUAACACGUGGAUAAUCUGCCUUUCGGUGGGGGAUAACGGCUGGAAACGGCCGCUAGUACCGCAUGUGGUUGCGGGGCCUUCGGACCCUGCAAAGAAAGAGGCCUUAAAGCCUCGCCGGAAGAUGAGUCCGCGCCCCAUUAGCUAGUUGGCGGGAUAACAGCCCACCAAGGCUUCGAUGGGUAGCCGAGCUGAGAGGUUGAUCGGCCACACUGGGACUGAGACACGGCCCAGACACCUACGGGUGGCAGCAGUAGGGAAUAUUGGACAAUGGGGGAAACCCUGAUCCAGCGAUGCCGCGUGGAUGAUGAAGGCCUUCGGGUCGUAAAGUCCUUUUCUGAGGGAAGAACUGUCUGGGGAGGAAAUGCCCCGGAUUUGACGGUACCUCAGGAAUAAGCAACGGCUAACUCCGUGCCAGCAGCCGCGGUAAUACGGAGGUUGCAAGCGUUGUUCGGAUUAACUGGGCGUAAAGGGAGCGCAGGCGGCUUGGUAAGUCUAAAGUGAAAUCCCAGAGCUCAACUCUGGACGGGCUUUAGAUACUGCCUGGCUUGAGUACGUGAGAGGAGAUUGGAAUUCCAGGUGUAGCGGUGAAAUGCGUAGAUAUCUGGAGGAACACCGGUGGCGAAAGCGGAUCUCUGGCACGUUACUGACGCUGAGGCUCGAAAGCGUGGGGAGCAAACGGGAUUAGAUACCCCGGUAGUCCACGCCGUAAACGUUGUGCGCUAGGUGUAGGAGGUAUCGACCCCUUCUGUGCCGCAGCUAACGCAUUAAGCGCACCGCCUGGGGAGUACGGUCGCAAGACUGAAACUCAAAGGAAUUGACGGGGGCCUCGCACAAGCGGUGGAGCAUGUGGUUUAAUUCGAGGCAACGCGAAG